This 440-nucleotide ribosomal RNA is filed under the name uncultured bacterium. Its description in RNAcentral is "partial 16S ribosomal RNA". It matches the Rfam family "Bacterial small subunit ribosomal RNA", at positions 338 to 795 of the family's 1533-position model. The record is from RNAcentral.
CCUACGGGAGGCUGCAGUGGGGAAUAUUGCACAAUGGGGGAAACCCUGAUGCAGCGACGCCGCGUGUGUGAAGAAGUAUUUCGGUACGUAAAGCCCUAGCAGCAGGGAAGAAAAUGACGGUACCUGACUAAGAAGCCUCGGCUAACUACGUGCCAGCAGCCGCGGUAAUACGUAGGGGGCAAGCCUUAUCCGGAUUUAAUGGGUGUAAAGGGAGCGUAGACGGCAGCGCAAGUCUGGAGGUAAAAUCCAUGGGUUAACCAUGGAACUGCUUUGGAAACUGUGCAGCUAGAGUGCAGGAGAGGUAAGCGGAAUUCCUAGUGUAGCGGUGAAAUGCGUAGAUAUUAGGAGGAACACCAGUGGCGAAGGCGGCUUACUGGACUGUAACUGACGUUGAGGCUCGAAAGCGUGGGGAGCAAACAGGAUUAGAUACCCGGGUAGUC